AGCGAACGCUGGCGGCAGGCCUAACACAUGCAAGUCGAACGAACUCUUCGGAGUUAGUGGCGGACGGGUGAGUAACACGUGGGAACGUGCCUUUAGGUUCGAAAUAACUCAGGGAAACUUGUGCUAAUACCGACUGUGCCCUUCGGGGGAAAGAUUUAUCGCCUUUAGAGCGGCCCGCGUCUGAUUAGCUAGUUGGUGAGGUAAAGGCUCACCAAGGCGACGAUCAGUAGCUGGUCUGAGAGGAUGAUCAGCCACAUUGGGACUGAGACACGGACCAAAAGGCUCCGGGAGGCGGCAGUGGGGAAUCUUGCGCAAUGGGCGAAAGCCGGACGCAGCCAUGCCGCGCGAAUGAUGAAGGUCUUAGGAUUGUAAAAUUCUUUCACCGGGGACGAUAAUGACGGUACCCGGAGAAGAAGCCCCGGCUAACUUCGUGCCAGCAGCCGCGGUAA
RNAcentral lists this ribosomal RNA (449 nucleotides) under uncultured bacterium. Its description in RNAcentral is "partial 16S ribosomal RNA". It matches the Rfam family "Bacterial small subunit ribosomal RNA", at positions 29 to 523 of the family's 1533-position model. The record is from RNAcentral.